RNAcentral lists this unclassified non-coding RNA (402 nucleotides) under Hevea brasiliensis (rubber tree). Lineage: Eukaryota; Viridiplantae; Streptophyta; Magnoliopsida; Malpighiales; Euphorbiaceae. The record is from RNAcentral.
GUCUAACAGAAGUCAAGAAAAAUCUGUGUACAGUUCCAGUUCCAAGAGAAUACGUGUUGACUCACCUUCAGACACAGGUCUUGGUGCUGGUAGUGAAGCAUGAUAUUCAUCUUGGACCAACAGUUUCCUAUAGGAUUAGAAUAACUCUUCUCAGUUGGUUCUCAGCAAGUUCCAAAGAGGCCUUCUGGUAUACACAAGUGAAAAUAGAUAACAUUUGGCAGCAGUUUUUGGUUCUUAAUUAUAACAGCAAUGCAAUAGAUAGCUGGACCUUUUCGGUUUUUAGUCAUAUUUUCCAGGACGCUGGAAAACACGUCCUUGGAAACCUUUGCUUUGCAUUCUAAAAGAGGGGGAAAAAACACUAUAUAUGUACUAAAUUCGUUUCUCCUUUACUUGAGACAGGAG